GUGGGUAUGGCUCAGUGGUAAAGCACUUGCCUAGAAUGCAAGAGGCCUUGGGUUUGUCUCCCGACACCCCG
RNAcentral lists this transfer RNA (71 nucleotides) under Fukomys damarensis (Damara mole-rat). It matches the Rfam family "tRNA". Rfam says of the family: Transfer RNA (tRNA) molecules are approximately 80 nucleotides in length. Their secondary structure includes four short double-helical elements and three loops (D, anti-codon, and T loops). The record is from Rfam by way of RNAcentral. Lineage: Eukaryota; Metazoa; Chordata; Mammalia; Rodentia; Bathyergidae.